This is a long non-coding RNA of Eubalaena glacialis (North Atlantic right whale), 441 nucleotides long. RefSeq lists it as uncharacterized. The transcript is spliced from 4 exons. NCBI's taxonomy places the organism in Eukaryota, Metazoa, Chordata, Mammalia, Artiodactyla, Balaenidae. The record is from RefSeq and is a predicted model, not a curated record.
CCCUGGUCUUCUCAUGACCGCCUCAUUUUCCCGAGAAAACAGAGGGAACCCACGCACGUGGGCGUCCUCUGGAGAGGGCGCUGGGUGUGGAGAGAAGACUGUGAUCCUGAAGUCGCGCAGACACGGGUUCAAAUCUCGCCUCUGCCCCUUGUUGGCUGACGGGCUUUGGGGAAUACGUUUCCAGUGAUCAAUCGGUGGAAGCUUCCAGAAGAAGAUGUAGACUCCCUUUCUAGCCCCUUCCUCGGCUUUGCGACGGAGGUGUCCCCCGUGGAGGCUCCAGGAGGAGGAGGAGGAGGGACAGUCCCCAUGGCAACUGACGGAGAGGCGCUUUUCAGCUUGAGAAGAACCUUUGUAACAAUGGAGCUGUCCGAAUGCCGUGAAUACUGAUGGAAACAGAUGGCUCCCCUCCACACCACCGCCAAGAGGAGGGGCUGCUAGGGC